AAGACUAUAGACCUGCGGAGUACCUGCGGAGGGAUCAUUACAUGGCGGAGGAGGUGGGCACCUAGUAAAAACAAAACCCUAGGUGUGUUGCCUACCACGCUUUCUACCCUUGUCUAUUUGCACCUUUUGUCGUUCCCUCGGUGGGUCUUGAACCUGCCGGCGGCAACUUUCAAAAACCUUUUGUAGUUAGUAUCUAAUUCUUCUGAUCAAAUAUUCAAUCGUUACAACUUUCAGCAACGG
RNAcentral lists this unclassified non-coding RNA (240 nucleotides) under soil metagenome. RNAcentral's name for it is "partial contains 5.8S ribosomal RNA, internal transcribed spacer 2, and large subunit ribosomal RNA". The record is from RNAcentral.